CCUACGGGAGGCAGCAGUGAGGAAUAUUGGUCAAUGGACGAGAGUCUGAACCAGCCAAGUAGCGUGAAGGAUGACUGCCCUAUGGGUUGUAAACUUCUUUUAUAAAGGAAUAAAACGAGGCACGUGUGCCUGUUUGCAUGUACUUUAUGAAUAAGGAUCGGCUAACUCCGUGCCAGCAGCCGCGGUAAUACGGAGGAUCCGAGCGUUAUCCGGAUUUAUUGGGUUUAAAGGGUGCGUAGAUGGGUUGUUAAGUCAGUUGUGAAAGUUUGCGGCUCAACCGUCAGAUUGCAGUUGAGACUGGCAGUCUUGAGUACAGUUGAGGUAGGCGGAAUGCGUGGUGUAGCGGUGAAAUGCUUAGAUAUCACGAAGAACCCCGAUUGCGAAGGCAGCUUGCUAACCUGUGACUGACAUUGAUGCUCGAAAGUGUGGGUAUCAAACAGGAUUAGAUACCCCUGUAGUC
RNAcentral lists this ribosomal RNA (460 nucleotides) under uncultured bacterium. RNAcentral describes it as "partial 16S ribosomal RNA". It matches the Rfam family "Bacterial small subunit ribosomal RNA", at positions 338 to 795 of the family's 1533-position model. The record is from RNAcentral.